This 253-nucleotide ribosomal RNA is filed under the name uncultured bacterium. Its description in RNAcentral is "partial 16S ribosomal RNA". It matches the Rfam family "Bacterial small subunit ribosomal RNA", at positions 524 to 776 of the family's 1533-position model. The record is from RNAcentral.
UACGGAGGUCGCAAGCGUUGUUCGGAAUCACUGGGCGUAAAGCGCGUGUAGGCGGCUCUGCAAGUCGGGUGUGAAAUCCCGAGGCUCAACCUCGGAACUGCACUCGAUACUGCUUGGCUCGAGUCCCGGAGAGGGUGGCGGAAUUCCCGGUGUAGGGGUGAAAUCCGUAGAUAUCGGGAGGAACACAAGUGGCGAAGGCGGCCACCUGGACGGUGACUGACGCUGAGACGCGAAAGCGUGGGGAGCAAACAGG